Molecule: ribosomal RNA, 194 nt
Filed under: uncultured bacterium
Lineage: Bacteria
Description: partial 16S ribosomal RNA
Rfam family: Bacterial small subunit ribosomal RNA
Source: RNAcentral
GGCAAGUCAGGGGGGAAAUCCCGGAGCUCAACCCCGGAACUGCCCUUGAAACUGCUAAGCGAGAAUCCUGGAGAGGCGAGUGGAAUUCCGAGUGUAGAGGUGAAAUUCGUAGAUAUUCGGAAGAACACCAGUGGCGAAGGCGACUCGCUGGACAGGUAUUGACGCUGAGGUGCGAAAGCGUGGGGAGCAAACAG